AUGGGCACCUCCACCACGGCCCCAUCGGUGUUCCCACUGGCCCCCAGGUGCGAGACCACACCCUGCUCCACAGUGGUCCUGGCCUGCCUGGUGUCCGGCUACUUCCCCGAGCCUGUGACUAUGUCCUGGAACUCCGGCUCCCUGACCAGUGGUGUGCACACCUUCCCGUCCGUCCUGCAGUCCUCAGGGCUCUACUCUCUCAGCAGCAUGGUGACAGUGCCCUCCAGCAGGUGGCCCAGUGACACCUUCAUCUGCACCGUGGCCCACCCGGCCAGUAAGACCAAGGUGGACAAGCCAGGAACCGGGUGCAUCCGUUCAUGCCGCUCGGCCUGCUGCCAGGCCCGCUCUCUGCCCUCCCCCGUGCCACCCUCUGACCUCACAGCCACCCUGGGCCUGCACCUCCACCCUCGGCUCGUGGACGCCGUGGGCUGCAUCUUCCCCCUGAACCCCCGUUUGGAGACUCAACCAUCCCCCAUCCAGAGGACCAUCUCCAAGGCCAGAGGGCAGGCCCAUCAGCCCAAUGUGUACAUCCUGCCCCCGUCCCCGAAGGAGAUGGCAUCCAAGAGCACAGUCAGCGUGACCUGCCUGGUCAAAGACUUCUACCCACCUGACCUUGAUCUGGAGUGGCUGAGCCAAGGAAAGGAAGAGCCAGAGAGCAAUAUCCGAACAACCCUGCCCCAGCUGGACGCAGAUGGGACCUACUUCCUCUACAGCAAGCUCUCGGUGAAUAAGGACCGCUGGCAGCGUGGAGAAUCCUUCUCAUGUGCGGUAUUGCAUGAAGCUCUACACAACCACCACACAGAGCUAUCCCUCUCCCAGUCUCCGGGUAAAUGA
Odobenus rosmarus divergens (Pacific walrus) is the source of this 834-nucleotide non-coding RNA. The record is from the annotation of a RefSeq genome assembly. Lineage: Eukaryota; Metazoa; Chordata; Mammalia; Carnivora; Odobenidae.